UGUGUGUUGUGUGUGUGUGUGUGUGUGUGUGUGUGUGUGUGUGUGUGUGUGUAUGUGUGUGUCACCCACAUACACACACACACACACACACACACACACACACACACACACACACACACACACACAUAUAUAUAUAUAUAUAUAUAUAUAUAUAUAUAUUAUAUAUAUAUAUAUAUAU
This 178-nucleotide small nucleolar RNA is filed under the name Penaeus monodon (black tiger shrimp). RNAcentral's name for it is "small nucleolar RNA SNORA23". The record is from RNAcentral. Lineage: Eukaryota; Metazoa; Arthropoda; Malacostraca; Decapoda; Penaeidae.